RNAcentral lists this long non-coding RNA (2081 nucleotides) under Homo sapiens (human). RNAcentral's name for it is "HSALNT0296485". The record is from RNAcentral. Lineage: Eukaryota; Metazoa; Chordata; Mammalia; Primates; Hominidae.
CAGUAUUUGAUGGGUCUGAAUGAAAAUCUGAUGAAACAGAUGUUACUUGAAGCUGAGUGACUUUCUCAGGGUCAAGCAAAUAAGUAAAUGGAGGAGCCAGAAUUAUACCCCAGGAUCCCCAUCACAAGGAGGGGAGGGCUACCAUCCCAGCUGCAAACUCUCAUUCAAGGUUUAUGCUGCAGCCAGCAGUGUCCUUGGAGUCUAGUUCAAAGCUGAAGAGAGUGAACCAUGGAACUGGGAGCCAUUGGCGGAGAGGCUGGCCUGAAGGAAGGGAAGUGUUUCAGCCAGAAUGUACUGACGCACAACCAGGAAACCACAAGACUGGUGAGAACCUUUCCAAAACUGAGCUUUAUGAUCAAAAGAGGUACAGGAAACAGCUCUGCCAAGAGUCCUUUCUGCUCCUGGCUGGAACCCUGAGCUUCUGAGGCUCUCUGAGUCAACUCUCUGAACAGAUGCUGUCACCCAAGGAACCAUCACUAAAGCAUUUUUUUGCUUUGCUCUGAGGUGGCCUCACUGGUGGGUGCAAGUGAGUUACUGUCUCUUUUUCUCUUUCUUGUUUCUUUCUUUUGACAGAAGUUGCCAUGUGAUUACUCAAUUCUGAAUUUUAGAGGCCAUAGGUUACUGCAUUUAUGCCCUUUGCCAACUGACUAUUGUUUGGUGCUGGGCCUGCAUACAAACACGACAUCCCCAAACUCUUAUCAAUACCUAGAUCACCUGAUGUGAAUCUAUCAAUACCCUGGACUUAACAGGGUAUUGAAGGAAAGAGAACCGGCAAUUCCUUCAUUUCUUACAUCCCAGCCAGUAGUCCUUCUCCCAGGCUAGUCUUCCUUUUGUUUCCCCUAAGAAUGACUCAACUAGGAAUUGCAUUCUGAUCCCUGUCACAGAUAUAAAUCUUGUCUGGAUACAAGGUCAAAAUAAUUGUGUUCCUGUGGAUUCUUUUUCUUUUUUCAACCAGAGUAACUACCAGUUGCCAUGAAAUAAAUCACAUCAUCAUAUGGCAGAUCCAGCUAAUAGCUGAGACUGGCAGGAUAACUGAACCGUGUACUCAGAGCUAAAUGAUGGAGAAAUUGGACUGGCCAUGGAGCACUUCAAAUUGAUUGCUUAGUAAUGGGAUAUUUUUCCUGGAAAGACAACAGAAUACUUCUGAAUUGUUGGUUCUGUCAUGGGUACAGGCUCCCAUGUACAGGAAAAUAAAGAAAGUGUGAUGAAUUUUUCAUCUGGCCUUCUGCCUACUUUCUUGCUUUCUGCAUGUCUCCAUUUUUAGUCUGUAAGCCCUGCCUAGAUGACCAAUCACUAUUGCCCAUGUGGCAUAAAACCUACAAUUUAACUAUACUUCUUACCAAACUCUCAGCAAGUAUGAGGUAGCCAACAGCCUUUUCAAGAUAAUGACUGAGUCUUAGCUUAGGUUUCAGUCAUUUUAGGAAACAUAAAAAAUUCAAUGGUGGGAGAUCAUACACACUCUGCAAAGAUGUCAGAAGUCAAGUUUUGGGAGAGUCCACACACAAACUGAGCAGUGAUGGUAAAAUAUAUUUUUGAAAUAUUUCUCCUCUGUGACUGUUAUGUGAAGUAGAGCAAACACAUUGUGCUGCAGUGCUCUUUGGGACAUGCCUUUUUUGGGAAGUGCUAACUUUAUACUCUGCUGACACCAAACAUUUGAAUAUAAAACCUUAUUUUUUUCUCUCACUCUGCUCCACUUUUGGCUCAGCUUAUUCUACCAAAACACACUUCAAAAGACUUCUUUAUAGAAAGAAUGUUUCAAAAAUAUAAUAUUUCCAUCUGUUAUUUCAAUAAUACAUGCUCUGGGACUCUCUUUAUGAACCACUUUCCUUUCUUUGCUCCCAUUUAGAUGUAUAAAUAUUUGAUUGUAAAGCUCUAAGGAAUAGUCAGCCAAUCGGGUCACUGAAUUGUGAACAUUCCUAACCCUAUAAUUUUGUCUGUAGCAGGCACCUCCUGCUGUGGAACUAACUGCUAAGGGAUUAUAGCAAUGUAAUCCUCAGACUGUUCCAUCUCAAGGUUACUCUGAAGUGGAGGGAAGGAAGCCGUUUUAAUUUUGAUAAAAUAAACUUUAUUUUGUAACUUUA